Long non-coding RNA from Apis mellifera (honey bee), 340 nucleotides. RefSeq lists it as uncharacterized. The record is from RefSeq and is a predicted model, not a curated record. The transcript has 2 exons. Lineage: Eukaryota; Metazoa; Arthropoda; Insecta; Hymenoptera; Apidae.
UGUAAAUAUUUCAUAUUUAAAAUAAAAUUACCAAAUGACACCGAUUAACGAUGUUAUGUGAAAAGUAGCACCCCAAUUGAGUCCUUUAAUAAUUAUUGCGCAAAGUGGAUAAGUGAUGGCAGCACCUACAGAGCCGCCUAAAGCACGACAUAUUUAGAAAUAUUAUUACAUUAUUUUGUCGUGGUCAUUUUUCAAAUCUUUCUCUCAAAAUUUUUCAAAUUUUAAUAAUCAAUUAUUAAUUAUUAAUUAUCGACGGAUGGAAUCCAUUUGGCAGUCAUAUUGUGCAUAGAAGGCCACACAACACCCUAAAUAAAUCAUCCAUGAUUCCAUUCUCUCAAAA